GGACAAGUCAAAACGUCAUUCUUAGCUGAGGUUGAAACUAUUGGCAGCAUACAUCAUGUAAACUUGGUGCAAUUGAUUGGCUUCUGCGCUGAGAAAUCUCAUAGGCUUUUAGUAUACGAGUGCAUGAGCAACGGAUCACUAGAAAAAUGGAUCUACCACGGGAAACAGGAGCAAACUCUAGACUGGAACUGCAGGAGGAAGAUUAUUCAAGACAUAGCCAAAGGAUUAGCCUACCUUCACGAAGAAUGUAGGCAAAAGAUUCUGCAUUUGGAUAUUAAGCCCCCAAACAUACUCCUGGAUGAGAAGUACAAUGCUAAACUCGCUGAUUUUGGGCUUUCAAAGCUAAUUGAUCGGAAUCAGAGCCAAGUCAUGACUCAGAUGAGAGGCACUCCUGGUUAUUUGGCUCCUGAAUGGCUUAGUGGAGUUAUAACAGAGAAGGUAGAUGUCUACAGCUUUGGCAUUGUGAUCUUGGAAAUUUU
Molecule: unclassified non-coding RNA, 479 nt
Filed under: Hevea brasiliensis (rubber tree)
Lineage: Eukaryota; Viridiplantae; Streptophyta; Magnoliopsida; Malpighiales; Euphorbiaceae
Source: RNAcentral